GUAGCUUAUAUACCACUACCAGUAACACAUCACAUUGAAAGUAUUUAUCACAUGAACACCAAACAUCAUUCAAAAUUAAAAUAGACUUAUUUCUAAGAAAAACAGAACCACAUGAGUCUUAGGCAGCAACAGUGGCAGUUUCAGAAGGUUUGUUCUCAGGCUCAAUAGAGACAACUGUGGCAGUUUCAGAAGGUUUGUUAUCAGGCUCAACAGGGUCAAUAGUUACAGCUUCUGAAGGCUUGUUUUCAGGUUCAGCCUCAGUUGCAGUUUCUGUGGGAUUGUUUUCAGGUUCUACCCAGAAUUCAGUUUUCUUUCCAGUUUUGGAAACAGUGUCAAAAACAUCUUGUGGCUUUACAUUUCCUUUCACAGUCACUUUUUGUUCCUUCAUAUCAAUGUCAAAUGAUUCUACACCUGUGAAGAACAAAUGUGUUAUUUUGAUACAAUAUUCAUAGAGGAUGUUUGGUUGGUAUAUGUCCAUCCCCUUGGUUAUGUCACAUAACACUAAUUCAAAUUCAAAUUGAAAGGUUUUGAAAAUUAUUUAAACAGUUUGAAAUGAAAUAACCAUGCUAUAGAUGUUGAAAUAGAAAUAAGUAAACAUAUGGACAGCAUAUCUUGAUUAACCUUUCAAAAAAAAAAACAUAUCUUGAUUAAUAAAAUUUAUGGGAAAAAAUAUAGAGAUAUUACAUUGUCACAAUUAUUAAUUCAACAUGAUAACAAAGAUUAUUUAUUUGCUCUAGGAAUUAAAAAUACCUUCCAUUUUUUCCAAGACCCUAUUGACUGCUCCUGAACAGCCUGAGCAUGACAUUUUUACUUUGAGGACAACGGUCUGCAAUGAUCACAAUGGAAAAAUUUCAAAUUCAUAGUAAAUAGCAUUUUUUUUUAUAAAGGUUAAGCACAUUCAUAAAUUGAAUUCAAUUUAAAAAAGGAAAAUAAUUUGAAGAUGGUGAUAAUAAGAACAAGGCCGUUCUCGUGAGUUUAACUCAGUUGAUAGAGACAAUGCAUAAUAUAUGCAAGAAUCAACAUUUGAGCCCCGGACACCUCACUUAUUCAUCUUAUAAAUGUGAAUUUCUAGCCACUAAACUACUUGACAAAAAAUAUAAGAACAAAGCAGGGCAUAAAAAAAGUAGGAAUAUCUGACAGAAUAGUCAUGUGUGGAUCCUUAGGAUAACUUGAUAAAGCAGAUUAAUCAAAAAAUGUAUUGCUAUCAAAAAAACAAAAUCAAACUAAUAACAACACAAAUUUAGGAAAAAACUGGAGGCCUACAUAUAUAAUCUAAAAGUAAAUCUAAAGAUUUGUAACAAACAAGGAAGAAAUAAUCAUUCUUUGCUUUAUUAGUGUUAGAAUUGAACUUCUACUUCGUAAUUUGUUGACAUGCAAUAACAAUGAAAUUUGUAUCAUGCAAUCAUCUUGUAUGUGAGUGCAUAUCAUCAAAAGGAAGAAAAAAAAUUGAUCAAUCUUCUCUACUUUCAUCAGAACCAAAUUUUCUAAUAUAAUUAUAAAACAAAAUACAAAAAAUUACAAAGGAUCCAUGAUAUCUCAAUUCAAAAACUCAUCAACUUCAACACAAAACGUCUAAAGCAAGGAACUAGAUCAAAGAAAAAACAUAAAAUAAUAAAUCCAGAAUCACAAUGAUCAAGCUUAAGAAAAAUAGAAGAUCAACAACAACAUAGAAAAAGAAGUAUAAAG
RNAcentral lists this long non-coding RNA (1686 nucleotides) under Medicago truncatula (barrel medic). RNAcentral's name for it is "long non-coding RNA (MTRU_LNC004704)". Lineage: Eukaryota; Viridiplantae; Streptophyta; Magnoliopsida; Fabales; Fabaceae. The record is from RNAcentral.